This 505-nucleotide ribosomal RNA is filed under the name uncultured bacterium. Its description in RNAcentral is "partial 16S ribosomal RNA". It matches the Rfam family "Bacterial small subunit ribosomal RNA", at positions 28 to 507 of the family's 1533-position model. The record is from RNAcentral.
GACGAACGCUGGCGGCGUGCCUAAUACAUGCAAGUAGAACGCACAGUUUAUACCGUAGCUUGCUACACCAUAGACUGUGAGUUGCGAACGGGUGAGUAACGCGUAGGUAACCUGCCUGGUAGCGGGGGAUAACUAUUGGAAACGAUAGCUAAUACCGCAUAAUAUUAAUUAUUGCAUGAUAAUUAAUUGAAAGGUGCAAUUGCACCACUACCAGAUGGACCUGCGUUGUAUUAGCUAGUAGGGGAGGUAACGGCUCACCUAGGCGACGAUACAUAGCCGACCUGCGAGGGGGAGCGGCCACCCUGGGACUGAGACACGGCCCAGACUCCUACGGGAGGCAGCAGUAGGGAAUCUUCGGCAAUGGACGAAAGUCUGAACGAGCAACGCCGCGUGAGUGAAGAAGGGUUUCGGAUCGUAAAGCUCUGUUGUAAGAGAAGAACGGGUGUGAGAGUGGAAAGUUCACACUGUGACGGUAUCUUACCAGAAAGGGACGGCUAACUACGUG